This 253-nucleotide ribosomal RNA is filed under the name uncultured bacterium. Its description in RNAcentral is "partial 16S ribosomal RNA". It matches the Rfam family "Bacterial small subunit ribosomal RNA", at positions 524 to 776 of the family's 1533-position model. The record is from RNAcentral.
UACGUACCGUACGAACGUUAUUCGGAAUUACUGGACUUAAAGGGUUUGUAGGCGGCCAUGUAAGUCAGGUGUGAAAUCCCUCGGCUCAACCGAGGAAUGGCGCUUGAUACUGUAUGGCUUGAGGGAGACAGGGGUAAGCGGAACUGAUGGUGGAGCGGUGAAAUGCGUUGAUAUCAUCAGGAACACCGGUGGCGAAAGCGGCUUACUGGGUCUCUUCUGACGCUGAGGAACGAAAGCUUGGGUAGCGAACGGG